GUGAAUCAUCAAAUUUUUGAACGCAAAUUGCACUCUCUGGAAUUCCGGAGAUUAUGCCUUUUUGAGGGUCAGUUUAAAUAAAAAUCGGGGUGUUUCUUUUUUUUGACCCUUCGGAAUUGGGUUAGCUUUAACCUUUUAAAAGGUUUAAUUAACCAAAAAUUGAUCCCUGUUGCAUCUCGAACGUACA
Molecule: unclassified non-coding RNA, 187 nt
Filed under: Glomeromycetes sp.
Lineage: Eukaryota; Fungi; Glomeromycota; Glomeromycetes
Description: partial contains 5.8S ribosomal RNA and internal transcribed spacer 2
Rfam family: 5.8S ribosomal RNA (bases 1-71)
Source: RNAcentral